Molecule: ribosomal RNA, 447 nt
Filed under: uncultured bacterium
Lineage: Bacteria
Description: partial 16S ribosomal RNA
Rfam family: Bacterial small subunit ribosomal RNA
Source: RNAcentral
CCAGACUCCUACGGGAGGCAGCAGUGGGGAAUAUUGCACAAUGGGGGGAACCCUGAUGCAGCGACGCCGCGUGGGUGAAGGAGCACCUCGGUGCGUAAAGCCCUAUCGGCAGGGAAGAAACAGACGGUACCUGACUAAGAAGCCCCGGCUAACUACGUGCCAGCAGCCGCGGUAAUACGGAGGGGGCAAGCGUUAUCCGGAUUCACUGGGUGUAAAGGGAGCGUAGACGGCGACGCAAGUCUGGAGUGAAAGCCCGGGGCCCAACCCCGGGACUGCUUUGGAAACUGUUUGACUGGAGUGCGGGAGAGGUAAGUGGAAUUCCUAGUGUAGCGGUGAAAUGCGUAGAUAUUAGGAGGAACACCAGUGGCGAAGGCGGCUUACUGGACUGUAACUGACGUUGAGGCUCGAAAGCGUGGGGAGCAAACAGGAUUAGAUACCCCUGUAUAA